GUGCUCACAGUUCAGCAGCAAAUACACUAACAUUGGAACAGCAUAGAUAAGAUUAGCAUGGCCCCUGCACAAGGGUGACAUGCAAAGUCAUGAUGCAUUCCGUAUUUUU
Gorilla gorilla gorilla (western lowland gorilla) is the source of this 109-nucleotide small nuclear RNA. Lineage: Eukaryota; Metazoa; Chordata; Mammalia; Primates; Hominidae. The record is from Ensembl.